GCACAAACCCACAAUGAUCGUUCAGCAAGUAGCUGCAAUGGUAAGCGCCAUGCAAAGACGGGAGUUGGUCUUGUUACAAAGGAAUUAGAAGAUGCAAGUGUACCUGAUGGAGAGGUAAACAGUGCUGAAGUAGAGAAUUUGAGCCUCAGAAUAAGAGAGCUGGAAGAGUCAGAGUUAAAACUGAAAAAUGUGUUAGAGGACUACGUGGAAUCAGAUUCUACACUAAGAAAUAGGGUGAAAGAGCUGGAACUGUCAAACAAAACACUUCUGGCGACGACUGACCAAUUAAAUGCGAAGGUGCACCAGGCUGAAAAUGCAAAUGUGCGGGUUAAAGGGAGACUGCAAGACAUUCAGGAGGAGCUGGUGAACUUAGUAAGAAGGAUAUUGUUUCAAAUGACCUAGUUUAGCUUCUCUUUAUGGUAACAACUUAUAAAU
RNAcentral lists this long non-coding RNA (435 nucleotides) under Dromaius novaehollandiae (emu). Its description in RNAcentral is "lncRNA (ENSDNVG00000003762.1)". The record is from RNAcentral. Lineage: Eukaryota; Metazoa; Chordata; Aves; Casuariiformes; Dromaiidae.